RNAcentral lists this ribosomal RNA (1493 nucleotides) under Salmonella enterica subsp. enterica serovar Newport. RNAcentral describes it as "bacterial LSU rRNA". It matches the Rfam family "Bacterial large subunit ribosomal RNA", at positions 1 to 1528 of the family's 2925-position model. The record is from RNAcentral. Lineage: Bacteria; Pseudomonadati; Pseudomonadota; Gammaproteobacteria; Enterobacterales; Enterobacteriaceae.
GGGUUGUGAGGUUAAGCGACUAAGCGUACACGGUGGAUGCCCUGGCAGUCAGAGGCGAUGAAGGGCGUGCUAAUCUGCGAUAAGCGCCGGUAAGGUGAUAUGAACCGUUAUAACCGGCGAUACCCGAAUGGGGAAACCCAGUGUGACUCGUCACACUAUCAUUAACUGAAUCCAUAGGUUAAUGAGGCGAACCGGGGGAACUGAAACAUCUAAGUACCCCGAGGAAAAGAAAUCAACCGAGAUUCCCCCAGUAGCGGCGAGCGAACGGGGAGGAGCCCAGAGCCUGAAUCAGCAUGUGUGUUAGUGGAAGCGUCUGGAAAGGCGCGCGAUACAGGGUGACAGCCCCGUACACAAAAGCGCAUGUGCUGUGAGCUCGAUGAGUAGGGCGGGACACGUGGUAUCCUGUCUGAAUAUGGGGGGACCAUCCUCCAAGGCUAAAUACUCCUGACUGACCGAUAGUGAACCAGUACCGUGAGGGAAAGGCGAAAAGAACCCCGGCGAGGGGAGUGAAAAAGAACCUGAAACCGUGUACGUACAAGCAGUGGGAGCACAGGUUUACCUGUGUGACUGCGUACCUUUUGUAUAAUGGGUCAGCGACUUAUAUUCUGUAGCAAGGUUAACCGAAUAGGGGAGCCGGAGGGAAACCGAGUCUUAAUUGGGCGUUAAGUUGCAGGGUAUAGACCCGAAACCCGGUGAUCUAGCCAUGGGCAGGUUGAAGGUUGGGUAACACUAACUGGAGGACCGAACCGACUAAUGUUGAAAAAUUAGCGGAUGACCUGUGGCUGGGGGUGAAAGGCCAAUCAAACCGGGAGAUAGCUGGUUCUCCCCGAAAGCUAUUUAGGUAGCGCCUCGUGAAUUCAUCUCCGGGGGUAGAGCACUGUUUCGGCUAGGGGGCCAUCCCGGCUUACCAACCCGAUGCAAACUGCGAAUACCGGAGAAUGUUAUCACGGGAGACACACGGCGGGUGCUAACGUCCGUCGUGAAGAGGGAAACAACCCAGACCGCCAGCUAAGGUCCCAAAGUCAUGGUUAAGUGGGAAACGAUGUGGGAAGGCCCAGACAGCCAGGAUGUUGGCUUAGAAGCAGCCAUCAUUUAAAGAAAGCGUAAUAGCUCACUGGUCGAGUCGGCCUGCGCGGAAGAUGUAACGGGGCUAAACCAUGCACCGAAGCUGCGGCAGCGACACUGUGUGUUGUUGGGUAGGGGAGCGUUCUGUAAGCCUGUGAAGGUGGCCUGUGAGGGUUGCUGGAGGUAUCAGAAGUGCGAAUGCUGACAUAAGUAACGAUAAAGCGGGUGAAAAGCCCGCUCGCCGGAAGACCAAGGGUUCCUGUCCAACGUUAAUCGGGGCAGGGUGAGUCGACCCCUAAGGCGAGGCCGAAAGGCGUAGUCGAUGGGAAACAGGUUAAUAUUCCUGUACUUGGUGUUACUGCGAAGGGGGGACGGAGAAGGCUAUGUUGGCCGGGCGACGGUUGUCCCGGUUUAAGCGUGUAGGUGUG